AUCAGGUGGAGCAGUUUCUUGCCCGCAUGUCGGGCUAUUUCGCUGGCCAUGGCACAGCGACGGCCCCCGCGCGCAGCGUCGGAACACUGGCCGGCAUGGUCCAGCGCGAGGCCAACGUGCUGGCCUAUAUCGACGGCUUCUGGCUGACCUUCGGUUUCGCGAUCAUAGGGCUUCUCGUGACCGCCCUGAUUACGAAAUCCCCGCCCGGGCCCUUCACACCCAAAGCCCGAUAGCGCCGUUCUCCGCCCGAAAU
RNAcentral lists this unclassified non-coding RNA (253 nucleotides) under Hevea brasiliensis (rubber tree). Lineage: Eukaryota; Viridiplantae; Streptophyta; Magnoliopsida; Malpighiales; Euphorbiaceae. The record is from RNAcentral.